GACAGAGGUUGCAAACGUUGUUCGGAAUUACUGGGCAUAAAGCGCACGUAGGCGGUCCGUUAAGUCAUGUGUGAAAUCCCCCGGCUCAACCGGGGAAUUGCGCCUGAUACUGGCGGGCUAGAGAUCGAUAGGGGUGAGUGGAACUCCAGGUGGAGCGGUGAAAUGCGUAGAUAUCUGGAGGAACACCGGUGGCGAAAGCGGCUCACUGGAUCGAUACUGACGCUGAGGUGCGAAAGCGUGGGGAGCAAACAGG
RNAcentral lists this ribosomal RNA (253 nucleotides) under uncultured bacterium. Its description in RNAcentral is "partial 16S ribosomal RNA". It matches the Rfam family "Bacterial small subunit ribosomal RNA", at positions 524 to 776 of the family's 1533-position model. The record is from RNAcentral.